This 67-nucleotide transfer RNA is filed under the name Amphora coffeiformis. The record is from RNAcentral. Lineage: Eukaryota; Bacillariophyta; Bacillariophyceae; Surirellales; Surirellaceae.
GCGUAGCUCAAUUUGGGGGAGCGACGGUCUCACAAUUCUGCAGGAUGUUGGUUCAAUUCCAACCGUU